Molecule: ribosomal RNA, 468 nt
Filed under: uncultured bacterium
Lineage: Bacteria
Description: partial 16S ribosomal RNA
Rfam family: Bacterial small subunit ribosomal RNA
Source: RNAcentral
GACGAACGCUGGCGGCGUGCUUAACACAUGCAAGUCGAACGGAAAGGCCCUGCUUUUGUGGGGUGCUCGAGUGGCGCACGGGUGAGUAACACGUGAGUAACCUGCCCUUUACUUUGGGAUAACUUCAGUAAACUUGGGCUAAUACCGGAUAUUAGCUCCUGCUGCAUGGUGUGGUUUGGAAAGUUUCGGCGGUUGGGGAUGGACUCGCGGCUUAUCAGCUUGUUGGUGGGGUAGUGGCUUACCAAGGCUUUGACGGGUAGCCGGCCUGAGAGGGUGACCGGCCACAUUGGGACUGAGAUACGGCCCAGAAUCAUACGGGAGGCAGCAGUGGGGAAUAUUGCACAAUGGGCGGAAGCCUGAUGCAGCAACGCCGCGUGCGGGAUGACGGCCUUCGGGUUGUAAACCGCUUUCGCCUGUGACGAAGCGUGAGUGACGGUAAUGGGUAAAGAAGCACCGGCUAACUACGUG